RNAcentral lists this unclassified non-coding RNA (441 nucleotides) under uncultured Prochlorococcus sp. RNAcentral's name for it is "partial may contain 16S ribosomal RNA, 16S-23S ribosomal RNA intergenic spacer, and 23S ribosomal RNA". The stretch from base 331 to 403 matches the Rfam family "tRNA". The record is from RNAcentral. Lineage: Bacteria; Bacillati; Cyanobacteriota; Cyanophyceae; Synechococcales; Prochlorococcaceae.
CGCCGAAGGUGGGGCUGAUGACUGGGGUGAAGUCGUAACAAGGUAGCCGUACCGGAAGGUGCGGCUGGAUCACCUCCUAACAGGGAGACAAUAAAUUGAUUGUGAUUGUAUUUWWGGUCAAGCUACAAAGGGCUCAUGGCGGAUACCUUGUCACACAAAGGCGAUAAGGUCAUAACUGUUUCCUGAGAUGAUUCUUUGAUUUCAGUUCCUAAACUUGGAUAGGUCACACCCAACAAAGGUCUCUCCGGGGCCAUCUUCUCACGUGGAUACAGCGAACCCCUGACAAUGAUGAGGUCCCUGGUUCAAGUCCAGGAUGGCCCAUUCGUUGUUGGGGGUAUAGCUCAGUUGGUAGAGCGCCUGCUUUGCAAGCAGGAUGUCAGCGGUUCGAGUCCGCUUACCUCCACUGAAAACUAUCCUGAUAACUAAAUUCUGGAGAAAAAA